GCAGACACAUUCCAGCCAAUCAGCAGCAGACCCUCCCUCCCAGACCCUCCCACCUCCUGGACAGCUCACUAAGAAUGCAGCUUCACAAUGGAUGCUGUCCAGGAGGUGGGAGGGUAUGGGAGGGAGGGUCUGCUGCUGAUUGGCUGGAAUGUGUCUG
Molecule: microRNA precursor, 157 nt
Filed under: Pelobates cultripes (western spadefoot toad)
Lineage: Eukaryota; Metazoa; Chordata; Amphibia; Anura; Pelobatidae
Source: RNAcentral